This 411-nucleotide unclassified non-coding RNA is filed under the name soil metagenome. RNAcentral's name for it is "partial contains 5.8S ribosomal RNA, internal transcribed spacer 2, and large subunit ribosomal RNA". The stretch from base 1 to 122 matches the Rfam family "5.8S ribosomal RNA", at positions 35 to 154 of the family's 154-position model. The record is from RNAcentral.
GAUGAAGAACGUAGCGAAAUGCGAUACUUGGUGUGAAUUGCAGAAUCCCGUGAACCAUCGAGUCUUUGAACGCAAGUUGCGCCCGAAGCCGUCAGGCCGAGGGCACGCCUGCCUGGGCGUCACACGCCGUUGCCCCCCCGCGCCCCGCACCCAACGCUUUGGGAGCGACCGCGGGGCGGGCUGAUGAUGGCCUCCCGUGCGCUCCGCCGCGCGGUUGGCCCAAAUACCGAGUCCCCGGCGACGUGCGCCACGACGAUCGGUGGUUGAGAGACCUCUGUCGCAAGUCGUGCGCGCCCGUCGCGUCACGCGGGCUCGCAUAGCGCCUCGCGCCGCACCCGGUGCGGAGCUUUCAACGCGACCCCAGGUCAGGCGGGAUUACCCGCUGAAUUUAAGCAUAUCAUAAGCGGAGGA